Molecule: small RNA, 27 nt
Filed under: Bombyx mori (domestic silkworm)
Lineage: Eukaryota; Metazoa; Arthropoda; Insecta; Lepidoptera; Bombycidae
Description: ovarian small RNA-27943
Source: RNAcentral
UCCUGGCGGGAGCCCUAGGUUUCGGAA